AAACCUAAAUGACCUGAAACAGCAGAAGUCUACGGAAAUCCCCCGCAGGUUCGACAGAGAGCAGGCGGAGCAGACUGUGACUGGCUCUCGGCUCCUCAGGAAAGUGUGUCUCUCAGAGUCAGAUCAGGAAGUAGAGAUCAGUGGUGUGAUCCGUGCGAAUCCAAACCGAAAGCAGCAGAGGCGCCCCGCUUUAGUCCGCGGUUUACAGCACAGGUCUUGUAUUCAAGUGUGUGACAAACAAAUGGAUGGAUGUCAUGCAGUCUGUUCCUGAAGGGGCAUUUUAUGUAUCUUCAGUCAAAAAAGACGUCUUCCGAAUAACACGGCAGCUUGCAGCCUGAAAUAUGUCGUCGUACUGGUACGUCAAAGAGACUGCGGAUCCAGGCGGCAGCACCAGCAGCAUGGAGGAGCAAGCUGGCGUUCCGGCGAUGGGAGCCAAGCAGUCGGCGGUUGGCAGCGUUCCCUUGAGUCAUUCGCCCACUCUGAAGAACAUCCAAGAGGCCUAUACGGACGGCGAGGACCAGAGGGCACGCGAGCUAAUCCGGCUUUCCUGCGAGAAUAACAGCGGAGCAGGACCAGAUGGGGUGAGUUUGAUCAUUCGCUCACUUUAUACUCUCAUU
This 617-nucleotide long non-coding RNA is filed under the name Sinocyclocheilus anshuiensis. RNAcentral describes it as "lncRNA (ENSSANG00000047053.1)". The record is from RNAcentral. Lineage: Eukaryota; Metazoa; Chordata; Actinopteri; Cypriniformes; Cyprinidae.